RNAcentral lists this small RNA (582 nucleotides) under Pan troglodytes (chimpanzee). RNAcentral describes it as "processed transcript". Lineage: Eukaryota; Metazoa; Chordata; Mammalia; Primates; Hominidae. The record is from RNAcentral.
GUGCUGUGGACACUCCCUGGGGCCCAGCGAAGGGGAGAGUUUGCUCCCAAAGGCACACCAAUGACCAACAUUUGCCCCCCGGAGGAAAGAACUGGAACCAGGGUCAAGGCCAACCUGUCAGAGGUGCUUGUGUCCAGUGUCCUGGGGGUCAACGUGACCAGCGCUGAAGUCUAUGGGGCCUUCACCUGCUCCAUCCAGAACAUCAGCUUCUCCUUCACUCUUCAGAGAGCUGGCCCUACAAGCCACGUGGCUGCGGUGCUGGCCUCCCUCCUGGUCCUGCUGGCCCUGCUGCUGGCCGCCCUGCUCUAUGUCAAGUGCCGUCUCAACGUGCUGCUCUGGUACCAGGACGCGUAUGGGGAGGUGGAGAUGAACGCGACUGCCCCGAGGACCGCAAGUUCGUGAACUUCAUCCUAAAGCCGCAGCUGGAGCGGCGUCGGGGCUACAAGCUCUUCCUGGACGACCGCGACCUCCUGCCGCGCGCUGGUAUCCCGGGCCCCGCCCCGUGCCCCGCCCACCCGGAGGUCCCGCCCCGCCCCAUGCUCCGUCCCACCCGGGGCCCCACCCCCACCAUCGAGCUCCGCC